This 269-nucleotide ribosomal RNA is filed under the name uncultured Sarcomonadea. Its description in RNAcentral is "partial 18S ribosomal RNA". The stretch from base 51 to 269 matches the Rfam family "Eukaryotic small subunit ribosomal RNA", at positions 735 to 955 of the family's 1831-position model. Lineage: Eukaryota; Cercozoa. The record is from RNAcentral.
GACUUCUGGUUUAAUGCACCUGGCCCGCGGCCAACAGGCUUGUGGCCGGACUCGGGAUCUGGAUCAUUUACUUUGAAAAAAUUAGAGUGUUUAAAGCAGGCUAUUGCUAUGAAUACAUUAGCAUGGAAUAAUAAUCUAGGACUUCGGUUCUAUUUUGUUGGUUUCUAUAACUGAAGUAAUGAUUGAUAGGGAUAGUUGGGGGUGCUAGUAUUGGCCGGUCAGAGGUGAAAUUCUUGGAUUCGGUCAAGACUAACUUAUGCGAAAGCAUU